GGUAUCUGAUGCACUAACACACACUGUACUAAUUGCAGAUGCCACUAGGGCCACAUCCCAGUUCAAAAACACACAUGGACUGUCCUGGUGAAUUGGGGAAGCAAGCAGCAGCCAUUCAGCCAGCAGAAACAGAGAGAGGAAAGGAAAAAAAAGCAGAAGUUCAAAUGGAAGAGACAUCAUUUUUGAGAAACCGAUUUUGGGUCUUGAGACAUGGCAAAAGCAUUCCCAACGAGAGAGGACUCAUAGUUUCAUCUCUGGAAAAUGGCGCCCUUUCAGAGUACCAACUAGCGUCUGAAGGUGUCAAACAGGCACAAUUGGCUGGAGAGUUAUUCCUUGAGGUAUAUCUAUUCACAUAGCAUCAUUUUUCAAGGUUUCAUUUUUUCAUUGUGUAUAUCUGUUUAUCUGACCUGAAUUAACUGCUAAUAUCUGUAUAUCUGAUCUGAAUUAAUUGCAGUUUUUCUUUGUCCAAUUCUGAAUUCCCAUCUUUGAUACUAUUUUCUUUUGGUGCUUUAUGCAAUAAAGAGUGUUUUUUGGAGGCAAUAUAGGGGCUAGUUUUUUGCAAGAACUUUGAUAAAAGCCAUUUCAAUCAUAAUAAUAUGGUAUUAUAAUUCUAUUUCAGGCUUAUAUCAAGGGAACUGACUAUAUUUACAACCUGAAAGGCAAUUCUGAUAUUAUUGUGAACAAACUUGAUACCAGUCAAACUGAUUUUUGAGGUUUCUGGAAUUGAAGAUGUUCAGGAUGUAACUAUUUGUGCAGAAACACUUGGAUAAAAAGUUAAAUUUUUUUGGAAACAAAAUACCUGGAAGUGGUUAGUCAUAAACUGCUAAUAUACUUUGCAGGCUACAGUAGCAGUUUAGUUCCUAAUGUUUUAUGCUUAACUCUCCCUAGACCCUUUAAAUUUAAUACGUAUGAUGCUAGUGAGCAUGAUGGUUGCAGCAUUAGGGAUAAAAUUAGUCAUCCAUUUAGAAGCAGAGGUACUAAAAUUGAUGUUUUUAUAAUUAUGAUGAUGAUUGGUUAGCAAAAGUGUAAAAGCAUUUUAAAUUUCUGAUGAUAUUUAAUAUAAUUAAACAAAAAGAGAAGAAAAGGGAAAGAGUAGAGUGUAUAUUAUUCCUAAUUCAAGAGUGAUUUUUGUAAUUUUCCAGUAAUUGGGUGACUCUGUACCUGAACCAUGAAUAUGCAAGGUUGACCCAGAAUGCAUACUGAAAGUUGAAGCUUUUUGCUGUUUGGGAAUAAUAAGACCAGAAAUGGACAUUACUCAUCUGGAGAGUUAUAUAAGAAUAUUCAAAUUGACUAUUGGGAAAAGGAAAAAUGGAAUAUCACUUGCUUCCAUUGCCAAUAGUAUCAUACAAUUCAUGUUAACAUCGUAUAUUAAUUGCUUGGACACAUGCUUGAGUUUUUUCCCCUCCAAACUCACUUUACAAUUCAUGGCAUGGUAGAAUUUAUUCUACAAUGAUCUGUUUCUAAUCUGGGCAGCAAUUGAAGGAAAGAAACAUACCACUAGAAAGUGUUCGCAUUUGCUACUCUCCAUUUGCAAGAACAAGUCACACUGCUAAAGUUGUUGCAUCUGUUUUGAAUCUUCCAUUUGAAGGUCCUCAAUGUAAGGUGAUGGAAGAUCUCCGAGAACGGUAUUUUGGUCCUUCAUUCGAACUAAUGUCGCAUGAUAAGUAUCCUGAGAUAUGGGCACUUGACGAGAAAGAUCCAUUCAUGCAACCGGAAGGUGGAGAAAGUGCUAAUGAUGUUGCUAACCGACUUGCAAGUGCCAUGGCAAGUAUGGAGUUGGAAUUUCAAGGAUGUGCGAUACUGAUUGUGAGCCAUGGUGAUCCUUUGCAAAUCUUGCAAACAAUACUCAGUGCAGUCAAGCAACACAAUGGAUCCACUUGUGAUGACUUAUCAUCGAUGGUUCAAGCAGUCAAAAUCCCUUCAAUCUUGUCUCAGCACCGGAAGUUUGCCUUGCUUACUGGAGAGCUUCGGCAGAUUAUAUAAAUCAACACUCUGCCAAGAAGCUAAACCUUGUGACUUUGGCAAACUAUUUUUAGUGUAGAUCCUGGAAUUAAUUUUAGCACCUGCCAAGUUGGAAAUUUGCUUGGGCAAUUGGGUAAUAUUUGUUGUCUUAUUAAUAAUCUAUGCCAUGGAAGAAGAUACGGCUUAUUGCAUUGGGAUAUUAUUUAUCAUGGUUAUUAUUUCCUGUUAUAGAUUUUUGUAGCAGCUAAGCUGGAAAAGGAGCUUGGAUAACAUGAACAGCGCUAAUCAGUAAGCAAUCACAAAUAGAGUAGUGAUUAGUUUUGGUGAUAGUGAUGGUAACACCAAUGUCAAAAAUGUAGUUAGUGUGGCAGGGAAAUCUCCUAAUGAAAACACCAAUGAAAUAAUCUUCCUUAUUUUUUAAUUGAAAGGC
RNAcentral lists this unclassified non-coding RNA (2392 nucleotides) under Hevea brasiliensis (rubber tree). Lineage: Eukaryota; Viridiplantae; Streptophyta; Magnoliopsida; Malpighiales; Euphorbiaceae. The record is from RNAcentral.